GAUGAAGAACGUAGCGAAAUGCGAUAAGUAGUGUGAAUUGCAGAAUUCAGUGAAUCAUCGAAUCUUUGAACGCACAUUGCGCCCGCUAGUAUUCUGGCGGGCAUGCCUGUUCGAGCGUCAUUUCAACCAUCAAGCCCUGUUUAGGCUUGUGUUGGGGCCCUGCGGUUGCCGCAGCCCCCUAAAUGCAGUGGCGAGCUCGUUGUCACUCCGAGCGCAGUAGCGUAUCUCGCUCUGGGCGUGGCGGCGGGUGCUAGCCGUGAAACACCCACUAAGGUUGACCUCGGAUCAGGUAGGAAUACCCGCUGAACUUAAGCAUAUCAAUAAGCGGAGGA
RNAcentral lists this unclassified non-coding RNA (332 nucleotides) under soil metagenome. RNAcentral describes it as "partial contains 5.8S ribosomal RNA, internal transcribed spacer 2, and large subunit ribosomal RNA". The stretch from base 1 to 120 matches the Rfam family "5.8S ribosomal RNA", at positions 35 to 154 of the family's 154-position model. The record is from RNAcentral.